GCACCGGCUAACUACGUGCCAGCAGCCGCGGUAAUACGUAGGGUGCAAGCGUUAAUCGGAAUUACUGGGCGUAAAGCGUGCGCAGGCGGUUCUGUAAGACAGAUGUGAAAUCCCCGGGCUCAACCUGGGAAUUGCAUUUGUGACUGCAGGACUAGAGUUCAUCAGAGGGGGGUGGAAUUCCAAGUGUAGCAGUGAAAUGCGUAGAUAUUUGGAAGAACACCAAUGGCGAAGGCAGCCCCCUGGGAUGCGACUGACGCUCAUGCACGAAAGCGUGGGGAGCAAACAGGAUUAGAUACCCUGGUAGUCCACGCCCUAAACGAUGUCUACUGGUUGUUGGGGAUUUAUAUCCUUGGUAACGAAGCUAACGCGUGAAGUAGACCGCCUGGGGAGUACGGUCGCA
Molecule: ribosomal RNA, 400 nt
Filed under: uncultured bacterium
Lineage: Bacteria
Description: bacterial SSU rRNA
Rfam family: Bacterial small subunit ribosomal RNA
Source: RNAcentral